Molecule: ribosomal RNA, 468 nt
Filed under: uncultured bacterium
Lineage: Bacteria
Description: partial 16S ribosomal RNA
Rfam family: Bacterial small subunit ribosomal RNA
Source: RNAcentral
GACGAACGCUGGCGGCGUGCUUAACACAUGCAAGUCGAACGGAAAGGCCCUGCUUUUGUGGGGUGCUCGAGUGGCGAACGGGUGAGUAACACGUGAGUAACCUGCCCUUGACUUUGGGAUAACUUCAGGAAACUGGGGCUAAUACCGGCUAGGAGCUCCUGCUGCAUGGUGGGGGUUGGAAAGUUUCGGCGGUUGGGGAUGGACUCGGGGCUUAUCAGCUUGUUGGUGGGGUAGUGGCUUACCAAGGCAUUGACGGGUAGCCGGCCUGAGAGGGUGGCCAGCCACAUUGGGACUGAGAUACGGCCCAGAGUCGUACGGGGGGCAGCAGUGGGGAAUAUUGCACAGUGGGCGGAAGCCUGAUGCAGAAACCCCGCGUGCGGGAUGACGGCCUUCGGGGUGUAAACCGCUUUCGCCUGUGACGAAGCGUGAGUGACGGUAAUGGGUAAAGAAGCACCGGCUAACUACGUG